This 253-nucleotide ribosomal RNA is filed under the name uncultured bacterium. RNAcentral's name for it is "partial 16S ribosomal RNA". It matches the Rfam family "Bacterial small subunit ribosomal RNA", at positions 524 to 776 of the family's 1533-position model. The record is from RNAcentral.
UACGUAGGUGACCAGCGUUGUCCGGAAUUACUGGGCGUAAAGCGCGCGUAGGCGGCUUUGUAAGUUAGAGGUGAAAGCCCGGGGCUCAACCCCGGAACUGCCUUUAAAACUGCAUCGCUUGAAUCCGGGAGAGGUGAGUGGAAUUCCGAGUGUAGAGGUGAAAUUCGUAGAUAUUCGGAAGAACACCAGUGGCGAAGGCGGCUCACUGGACCGGCAUUGACGCUGAGGUGCGAAAGCGUGGGGAGCAAACAGG